GGAAUCUUCCACAAUGGGCGAAAGCCUGAUGGAGCAACGCCGCGUGUGUGAUGAAGGCUUUAGGGUCGUAAAGCACUGUUGUAUGGGAAGAACAGCUAGAAUAGGAAAUGAUUUUAGUUUGACGGUACCAUACCAGAAAGGGACGGCUAAAUACGUGCCAG
RNAcentral lists this ribosomal RNA (161 nucleotides) under uncultured bacterium. RNAcentral's name for it is "partial 16S rRNA". It matches the Rfam family "Bacterial small subunit ribosomal RNA", at positions 358 to 511 of the family's 1533-position model. The record is from RNAcentral.